This 495-nucleotide ribosomal RNA is filed under the name uncultured bacterium. RNAcentral describes it as "partial 16S ribosomal RNA". It matches the Rfam family "Bacterial small subunit ribosomal RNA", at positions 28 to 507 of the family's 1533-position model. The record is from RNAcentral.
GAUGAACGCUGGCGGCGUGCCUAAUACAUGCAAGUAGAACGCUGAAGGAGGAGCUUGCUCUUCUGGAUGAGUUGCGAACGGGUGAGUAACGCGUAGGUAACCUGCCUGGUAGCGGGGGAUAACUAUUGGAAACGAUAGCUAAUACCGCAUGACAACAGUUAUUGCAUGAUAACUGUUUAAAAGGGGCAACUGCUCCACUACCAGAUGGACCUGCGUUGUAUUAGCUAGUUGGUGAGGUAACGGCUCACCAAGGCGACGAUACAUCGCCGACCUGAGAGGGGGAUCGGCCACACUGGGACUGAGACACGGCCCAGACUCCUACGGGAGGCAGCAGUAGGGAAUCUUCGGCAAUGGACGGAAGUCUGACCGAGCAACGCCGCGUGAGGGAAGAAGGUUUUCGGAUCGUAAAGCUCUGUUGUAAGAGAAGAACGAGUGUGAGAGUGGAAAGUUCACACUGUGACGGUAUCUUACCAGAAAGGGACGGCUAACUACGUG